RNAcentral lists this ribosomal RNA (491 nucleotides) under uncultured bacterium. RNAcentral's name for it is "partial 16S ribosomal RNA". It matches the Rfam family "Bacterial small subunit ribosomal RNA", at positions 28 to 507 of the family's 1533-position model. The record is from RNAcentral.
GAUGAACGCUGGCUACAGGCUUAACACAUGCAAGUCGAGGGGAAACGACGGGGAAGCUUGCUUCCCCGGGCGUCGACCGGCGCACGGGUGAGUAACGCGUAUCCAACCUGCCUCUGACUGAGGGAUAACCCGUCGAAAGUCGGCCUAAUACCUCAUGGCAUCGUCUGCGGGCAUCCAACGACGAUUAAAGAUUUCAUCGGUCAGAGAUGGGGAUGCGUCUGAUUAGCUUGUUGGCGGGGUAACGGCCCACCAAGGCGACGAUCAGUAGGGGUUCUGAGAGGAAGGUCCCCCACAUUGGAACUGAGACACGGUCCAAACUCCUACGGGAGGCAGCAGUGAGGAAUAUUGGUCAAUGGGCGAGAGCCUGAACCAGCCAAGUAGCGUGCAGGAUGACGGCCCUAGGGGUUGUAAACUGCUUUUAUGCGGGGAUAAAGUGAGGGACGUGUCCUUCAUUGCAGGUACCGCAUGAAUAAGGACCGGCUAAUUCCGUG